This 465-nucleotide ribosomal RNA is filed under the name uncultured Klebsiella sp. RNAcentral describes it as "bacterial SSU rRNA". It matches the Rfam family "Bacterial small subunit ribosomal RNA", at positions 338 to 795 of the family's 1533-position model. The record is from RNAcentral. Lineage: Bacteria; Pseudomonadati; Pseudomonadota; Gammaproteobacteria; Enterobacterales; Enterobacteriaceae.
CCUACGGGCGGCAGCAGUGGGGAAUAUUGCACAAUGGGCGCAAGCCUGAUGCAGCCAUGCCGCGUGUGUGAAGAAGGCCUUCGGGUUGUAAAGCACUUUCAGCAGGGAGGAAGGCGUUAAGGUUAAUAACCUUGUCGAUUGACGUUACCCGCAGAAGAAGCACCGGCUAACUCCGUGCCAGCAGCCGCGGUAAUACGGAGGGUGCAAGCGUUAAUCGGAAUUACUGGGCGUAAAGCGCACGCAGGCGGUCUGUCAAGUCGGAUGUGAGAUCCCCGGGCUCAACCUGGGAACUGCAUUCGAAACUGGCAGGCUAGAGUCUUGUAGAGGGGGGUAGAAUUCCAGGUGUAGCGGUGAAAUGCGUAGAGAUCUGGAGGAAUACCGGUGGCGAAGGCGGCCCCCUGGACAAAGACUGACGCUCAGGUGCGAAAGCGUGGGGAGCAAACAGGAUUAGAUACCCGAGUAGUC